UAAUGUGUGGCAUAGAGGUUUGAGUGUUGGACUGCAACACAGGAGACCAGGGUUCGAUUUCCUGCUCAGCCA
Molecule: non-coding RNA, 72 nt
Organism: Phrynosoma platyrhinos (Desert horned lizard)
Lineage: Eukaryota; Metazoa; Chordata; Lepidosauria; Squamata; Phrynosomatidae
Source: the annotation of a GenBank genome assembly